This 440-nucleotide ribosomal RNA is filed under the name uncultured bacterium. RNAcentral's name for it is "partial 16S ribosomal RNA". It matches the Rfam family "Bacterial small subunit ribosomal RNA", at positions 338 to 795 of the family's 1533-position model. The record is from RNAcentral.
CCUACGGGAGGCAGCAGUGGGGAAUAUUGCACAAUGGUGGAAACCCUGAUGCAGCGACGCCGCGUGAGCGAUGACGUCUCUCGGUAUGUAAAGCUCUAUCAGCAGGGAAGAAAAUGACGGUACCUGACUUAGAAGCCCCGGCCAACUACGUGCCGGAAGCCGCGGUUAUACGGAGGGGGCCAGCGUUAUCCGGAUUUACGGGGUGUUAAGGGAGUGGAGAUGGUUCUGCAAGCCAGAUGUGAAAGUCCGGGGCGCAACCCCGGGACUGCAGUGGGAACUGGAAGGCUUGAGUGAGGGAGAGGUAUGCGGAAUUCGUGGUGUAGCGGUGAAAUGCGUAGAUAUUAGGAGGAACACCAGUGGCGAAGGCGGCCUGCGGGACGAUGACUGACGUUGAGGCUCGAAAGCGUGGGGAGCGAACAGGAGUAGAUACCCCAGUAGUC